UAGCACAGAUAACCUGAUAUAAAAGCAAAAGCUUAUUAGAUUCAUAAGGCACAGACUUGAAGGAACAUUUUCAUAAUAGAUGCUUCUAAAAGCUCUAUCAUUUGUUUUACUUUAAAAUGCACACUACAUAACAACCUAAUAUCUUAACUUGGUCCAACUAUUUAGUAUAACUAAUAUGAGUUUUUAUACUGAUAACUUGCAAUGCCAUUAAAACCCAAGAAGGUAAAGAGAAGCUCAGCAUGGCAGGCACUUUCUUGUAUGACUUGGCAUUCUCAUGUAAGAGAGCCAGAAUCAACUGCAGUCAGCCCACGAUGUGCUGCCACUGUUCUCUGUUUUUGCUACUGAGGUGUGGGGGGUGUUGCUCACACAGUCAUGAUAUCCAGGUCAGUGAUCACAAGCAACGUGUUGCUCAGGAGCUCCAGGGUGUUCCCAGGGCUCCUCAGAGGUCACUGCUGCUAGUUCCUCCAAUGGUUCAGGAACAAUACGUUCUUACCUGCUCCACUGCUUAUCAUCAGUUUUCCCAAUAGCACCAGCUGAUCACACAUCAACUCCUUCUAUUCAUCAGCUGAUUUAAAGUCAAAGCUUGUACAAUUUUAAUGGAAACUCAUGUGGGUAAAAGUCUGA
RNAcentral lists this long non-coding RNA (624 nucleotides) under Homo sapiens (human). Its description in RNAcentral is "non-protein coding lnc-HDDC3-6:1". The record is from RNAcentral. Lineage: Eukaryota; Metazoa; Chordata; Mammalia; Primates; Hominidae.